AAGAUGACGCUUGGAGCGUGGGCCGCGACAUUCGCCGGUCGUGUUCCGCCCUCCUCGCUGCCGACCCUCCGGGGCUAGCGCCUGAGAUCCCUUUCCCAGAGUGCUCUGCGCCGUGAAGAAGCGGCUCCCGGGGACUGGGGGCAUUUUGCGUUGGCUGGAGCCGGAGUAACAAGAUGGCGGCGUCGGCGGAGUGAUAGGGGUCCCUCCGGGCGGGAGCCGGCGGCAGUGGUGGCAAGGGUACCACCGCCCUAACUCACCGCGCCCCUUUUCCAGCCCUCGACGUCGCCGCGAGAGCGUGGCACCGGCGGCAGCCCAGAAACAAGUGGCUCAGCCUGGGAACCGCGAGAACCCUUCACAAACUGCGGCCUGACCCCCCCCCCCCCCAAAAAAAAUCGGACAGAGCAGCGGUGAUCGGGUUCCCCUUGGCGGAUUCUGGGGCCCUGUGACGCCAAAAGCCAACGUUUUCCGUUUCCUGCCGCCCUCCUCCGCAGCCUUGCUCAGGGGACGAGCGCAGAGGCCUCUGUCCUCUUCUAAGAGGUGUCGGGGCUUGGCCCCAGCCUCCGUCUUCGUCUCUCAGGAUGGCGAGCAGCAGCGGCUCCAAGGCCGAAUUCAUUGUCGGAGGGAAAUAUAAACUGGUACGGAAGAUCGGGUCUGGCUCCUUCGGGGACAUCUAUCUGGCGAUCAACAUCACCAAUGGCGAGGAAGUGGCAGUGAAGCUAGAGUCUCAGAAGGCCAGGCAUCCCCAGUUGCUGUACGAGAGCAAACUCUAUAAGAUCCUUCAGGGUGGGGUCGGCAUCCCCCACAUACGGUGGUAUGGCCAGGAAAAAGACUACAAUGUUCUAGUCAUGGAUCUUCUUGGACCCAGCCUCGAAGACCUCUUCAAUUUCUGUUCAAGAAGGUUCACAAUGAAAACUGUACUUAUGUUAGCUGACCAGAUGAUCAGUAGAAUUGAAUAUGUGCAUACAAAGAAUUUUAUACACAGAGACAUUAAACCAGAUAACUUCCUAAUGGGUAUUGGGCGUCACUGUAAUAAGUUAUUCCUUAUUGAUUUUGGUUUGGCCAAAAAGUACAGAGACAACAGGACAAGGCAACAUAUACCGUACAGAGAAGAUAAAAAUCUCACCGGCACUGCCCGGUAUGCUAGCAUCAAUGCACAUCUUGGUAUUGAACAGAGUCGCCGAGAUGACAUGGAAUCAUUAGGAUAUGUUUUGAUGUAUUUUAAUAGAACCAGCCUGCCAUGGCAAGGACUAAAGGCUGCAACAAAGAAACAAAAAUAUGAAAAGAUUAGUGAAAAGAAGAUGUCCACUCCUGUUGAAGUUUUAUGUAAGGGUUUUCCUGCAGAAUUCGCCAUGUACUUAAACUAUUGUCGUGGGCUGCGCUUUGAGGAAGCCCCGGAUUACAUGUAUCUGAGGCAGCUAUUCCGCAUUCUUUUCAGGACCCUGAACCACCAGUAUGACUACACGUUUGACUGGACAAUGUUAAAGCAGAAAGCAGCGCAGCAGGCAGCCUCUUCGAGUGGGCAGGGUCAGCAGGCCCAAACCCCCACAGGCAAGCAAACUGACAAAACCAAGAGUAACAUGAAAGGAACGUGGCUGGUCACUUAGCAACGUAACUCAAAUCACAGGGGAAGACCUUGAAAUAUCUGGAACGACUGAUCUGCUCUGAAUAUACUCAAUGUCAAAGAAGCACCAGGGAGCUGCGUCUGCUUGCUGAAAUUUUUGUCAGCUUUUUUUCACUGUGGACAAUAAAGCUGGAGAGAAGAACUAAAUUACCCGACAGGAAAUGAAGAUGAGUGUGCAAGAGUUGAUCUGUGGUGAUCUGAAGCCCACGUCUUCAAGGCUUGCUUGACCUAUCAGACUUGGCACCUUGUCAGAUUUCCUGGGUGGUACAGCGGUCCAGAAGACGCAGAAGAGUACAGUGUGGCUGUGGCUCAAGUGGUGUAUAAUGCAGACCGUCUACCAGUUGGGGAAGGAAUCAGUUGUUACAGGAACAAAGGGAUCCACUUCUUAUUUUAGCUGUUGUUGCAGUGAAGAUGGGUUUUUGGACUUGUAGAAGCCAGGAGACACCACCUAAAGUGCAAGACAAAAACCAAGCACUAAUGCUGCACACUGGGGAAAAAGAACACUUAGAACUUGAAGAUUGAAUGUCCAAACCCUGGAUGCUCCUAUUGAGAUUUUUUUCUCAACAAACUUCAGUAACAUCCUAGGACGAUUCACUGGAGAUACAUUGAUUCCCUAGGCGGAGUGUCCUGCUUACCACUGGCUAAUCUGAAGAGUUAAAUCUGGAUUUGACUGAUGUAUUCUACCAGGAAUAUUGUUAGGCUAGCCUUUAACCAGUCCGUAAACAGUUGUAAUUAUUAAUUGACCCAGGAAUUCUUUAAAUCUAAUUAAAAGAUGAACAGAUAAAGUUCUUACCUAGAUAAUUUUUAUCCCUGUUAAAGACACAACUGGUGUAACUUGUAUUUCCUUUUUAGUUUAUUAGUGAUGAUGGUUUCCAUUUAAAGCUGUUUGGAUAUUCAACAUAGUAAUUAUUCUAUAUAAUUGUGUAAGUAAGCUGUGAUAAUAGAAAAAAACAACAAUUUUACUAGUUGGGGAAACUUUGUAUUUAAGAAUAAUUGCAGUACUUGAAAAAAUGCUUAUUAGGGUAAAGGUCAUUUCUAUUUAGCUAAUCCAGUUUUAAUUUGCUUUAAAGUAGUCUAUGUUAAAAUUGGGAUUAGAUUACAGAAUAUAGUCAGAUUUUUAAAAUUCAAUUCAGGUGUGAUUUAAAAGCUCUUUUUAUGGCUUACCUUGCUAAUCCUAUUUAAUAACACAUAUCGAUGCAUAUCAAUAAGAUAAUAUUCCUUGUGGUGAAGUACAAUUUCAGGAAGUUUCCUCCUUUUAUUUUUGCCAUUUGCUUUAUCAACAUAGUGCUUGGGGCAGGUAACAUCGGUCUGUUCUGUACCUACUCUUAAGUGUGGCGUUAUCUUUGGGAAAAAGGCAUAUGGUAUAUACAGGAACAUGAAUUAUAAAAGUAUUUUAUUUAUCCCACAAAGCUCAUUGGCGGUGGUCCACAAAUGUUUGGGAAGUACCAAAAAAAAUAGGUAGUUUAUUAUUGGGGGGGAAAAAAGGUUUGUGCUAAGGAAGUGAGAGAUCAGAGUGGGCUAGAAUAAGCUACUUAAUAGCGUGGCUGUAAGAGUUCAGAAGGGGGUGGAAAGGGGCAUCAGUGCCUUGAAAGAGAGGAGAGGGCAUUCAUGGGGUUUUUGUGUUAUUCCUGAGAGAGAGGUCUAUUUCCUCUCUGUCUUUAGCCAUAGGUAAAUUUACCUGAAUUCUUUAUUCCGCCGACCUUGACAUGAAGCCCUACCAGGGCUGUCCAGCCUGUGGCCUGAGAGCCACAUGCAACCCAGGAUGGCUGUGAAUGUGGCCCAACACAAAAUUGUAAAUUCACUUAAAACAUGAUGAGAUUUUUUUUGUGAUUACGUGUAAUUCUGUAUUUAAUGUGUGGCUCCAGAGAUGCCAAAAGGUUGGACACCCCUGCUGGAGUCUUAAUUGUGGCUGAGAGGAAGGAGUGUUUGCAAGGCGGGAGGGCUUGAGAAGUAAAUAAAGCUAAAAAAACAACUCUUUACAUUUUCUAAUCCAAGACAAAACCUAACCUUUCUAAUGUAAACUGAAUGGAAGUAAAGAAUUUUUGAAGUCGUGAGGUCUCCGUGUAAAAAGUAACAAUUUUGUGUUCGGUGGAAUAACUCCAAUAAUGAUGCCUUGAAUACACUUACUAGAAUUUAUUGUUCCCUUGUAUCAGAAAUAAUGUGCAAAAAAGUCUCUAACUCAGAGUAUGAUUGAACUAAACUUCCCACUUGCUGGAGCAAUCCAUUGUUCAUCAGUUUGACAGUGGAACACAGUAUGUUCUAGGCACUGGAGAUACAGCAGUAAACAAAACAGGCUUAGUGUGAUUACCACGGCUCGUCUAGCUUGAGCACCACAUGCUGACUGGGAGGUUUUACUUCACUGUGUACCAUUCCUACCUAGACGUCUCCAGAGCAGACAGGUUUCUUGUUUUUCUGUUUUAAAAAAUUGAGCUAGUGAUUUUCAAAUAAAUAAAAUCACCUGAGUCACACGCAAUUGUAGCACAAUUGUUAACCCACUCUACCCAAUUUCCUUAUUUGGGGUGUCAUUUUAAACUUUCUUUAACUUGGAAUUUUAACCAUUUCUUCCUGUUUUUAUUCUUUUUGAACAGGUUUCUAAGCAUGAAUCAAGGAGCAGAAGAAGCAGUGCAGAUGAUCGGAGCAGCAUUUGUUUCUCCCCAAAUCUAGAAAUUUUAGUUCAUAUGUACACUAGCCGGUGGUUGUGGACAACCAUUUACUUGGUGUAAAGAACUUAAUUUCAGUAUAAACUGGCUCUGGGCGGCAUUGGUGAUGCUGGGUCCCGAGUUGUAGCUGCUGUUAAUUGUGAAUAUUAACUGAGAUAGUGAAACAUGGUGUCCAGUUUUUCUAUUGCAUUUUUUCAAGUGGGAAAGUUAACUAAAUGGUUGACACACAUAAAUUGGUGGAGAAAUUGUGCAUAUGCCAAUUUUUUUUUUGUUAAAAUCUUUUACUUUGAACUAUACUGCUUUGAGAUCUCAUUUCAGAAGAACGGCAUGAACAGUCUUCAGCCACAGUUGUGAUGGUUGUAAAUGCUCACAAUUGUGCAUUCUUAGGGUUUAUCCACCCCUGGGGUUUGCAAGUUGUUCACUUAAAACAUUCUUAAAAUGGUUGGCUUCUUGUUUGCAAGCCAGCUGAUAUGGUAGCAACCAAAGAUUCCAGUGUUUGAGCAUAUGAAAGACUGCCUGCUUACCUGUGCUAGAGAUAACAGCAUCUAAAAGUGAAGACUUAAGAAAAACUUAGUGACUACUAGAUUAUUCUUAGGACUCUGCAUUAACUCUAUAAUGUUAUUGGUAUUAAAAAGAAGCAUAUUUGUCACACAAAAUUAGUUAACAUCUUAAAACUGAACAUGUAUGUAUGUUGCUUAGAUAAAUGUAAUCACUGUAAACAUCUAUAUGAUCUGGGAUUUUGUUUUUAUUUUGAAAUGGGAGCUUUUUUGUUUACAAGUUCAUUAAAAACUAUAAACUGUUUCUGUAAGGAAAUGAGGUUUUUUUUAAACAACAACAAAAAAAUGCCUUGCUGACUCACUCUGCAAUCAAAAUCUCCCCAAUUUUUUAAUAGACUACUUCAAGCCAUUUGUUACAUAAUACUCCUUUGCAAAUCAUUUUAGGUUUAGUGUUAUAACGUUUCCUCAAAUUUUUUUAAUUUAAAGUUGUUUUUGUCUGGAGGAGAAAGGCAUUGUUUCGUUUUUCUUUUUCUAAUGACCUGCAGGCACAAACGCCUAGCGCUGCGAUUGCUAGGGCUCGGUGUCGUGACCCCUGCAGCCUCGGACUAACCACAGCUGGACUGAUUUCGAGUAAGAACGAAAGCGUUAAAGGGUUUAACUGCAGAACGAAGUUUUCCUUUCAGUUUCUUGUUAAUUGGCUUUGAGCAGAUUGACUCUCAGUCUUGGGGCGCUUCACACCAUGUGAUUGCUCGCCCUCCCCCGCCCACCCGUUUCUGCAAGUUUCUGCGUUUCCCUCUCUCAGUCUUACAUGCCGCCCUUUUCUUCUUCUGGCCCAAGAGAAAGAGUUAUUGAUAAUUUUUUAAAUACUGUAAUUUAUUCAUUUAUAUCAUGUCAGAAUAAAUUCAAAAGAACUUUUGUCUGAAAAUGCUGCCAGGACCCUAUUGUGUAAAAAUGUAGGUAUUUUGUAAAAUAACCUUGAAACUGUAAAUUGACACUUGUUUGGUCAGAUUGUGUCAAGCUUCAUUUUUCUUUUUUUCUUUUUAUUUGAAAACUACUUUAGCAAUAAUUAAUUCUGGAAUGACUCCAUUCUGCCACUAAAGGUAUGCUAGCACCGUCCUGCUGCAGAAACCACGAUGAGCACGAGUUCGGGGCAGGCAGCUGUGUUUCUCCCUACCACCCGCGUCCGUGUUUGUUUCCUGACUAAUAAACCCUUUGAUACUUUUAGCCAGAAAUCAGUCUCAUAAAGCUAUUUUUGAGUAUAGUUUGUGUAAAAUAAAAAUGUUUAGCUUUGGUAAUAACUUUUCCAAGCUGAACUCCCUCUAGCAAGAUAUUUUUCAGUGCUUUUAUUUACUAUGCACUUAGACUAUGCACUUUUUCUGAAAUAUUUUUGUAACACUUAACUUUUUUGUAUUUUUGCCAUUUGAAAAGGUGUGGUGUAGCUGGUCUGUAAUUAAGUUGCAGAUUUAUAACUGCUGUUAGCUUUGUAAAUCAAAAUGUAGGUGUUUUGUCCUGGUAUAUCGUCAUUCCGUCUGCGGCUGGAGCUGGGAUCCCAUUGAUCUUCUAGCUACCAUUCAUUCUCUUCACAGUUCACAAGAGAAGAAUGUGAAAUUCAGUGAAUGCUGUUUACUAAUCCUGUCGGGAGAUGAAUCUCAUUUCACCAAAAUUAAAUUAUGUUUUUCCACUAAAAUGAUGAUACAAGUUGAAGACACAUCACUCUGAAAUUGGAAGACCUCGCCACUUAAGGCUCCGCAGUGGCUUACUCAGCUGAACUCGAGGUUACUGCUCUUCACUUCGUUCACCCAUUGAGGGGGUACAGUUUUUUUAAUGUUGGGAGAUGGCCAUUCUAACUACUGUUGAAUGUCUCUGUUUUGGGAAGGUAUAACAAGAAAAUAAAAAAAAUAUAUAUGAAGGGAGAGACUGGUUAUCUCCUCCCA
Molecule: RNA transcript, 6712 nt
Organism: Phyllostomus discolor (pale spear-nosed bat)
Lineage: Eukaryota; Metazoa; Chordata; Mammalia; Chiroptera; Phyllostomidae
Gene: CSNK1A1
Gene name: casein kinase 1 alpha 1
Exons: 11
Source: RefSeq, a predicted model, not a curated record